This 482-nucleotide ribosomal RNA is filed under the name uncultured bacterium. RNAcentral's name for it is "partial 16S ribosomal RNA". It matches the Rfam family "Bacterial small subunit ribosomal RNA", at positions 28 to 523 of the family's 1533-position model. The record is from RNAcentral.
GACGAACGCUGGAGGCGUGCUUAACACAUGCAAGUCGAACGAUGAAAUGGAGCUUGCUCCAUGGAUUAGUGGCGAACGGGUGAGUAACACGUGAAUAACCUGCCCUUAAUUUUGGAAUAACCCAGGGAAACCUGGGCUAAUACCGGAUAAGUAAACCUGUGGCAUCACAUGGUUUUGGAAAGUCUUUCGAUUAAGGAUGGAUUCGCGGCCUAUCAGCUUGUUGGUGGGGUAAUGGCUCACCAAGGCGACGACGGGUAGCCGGCCUGAGAGGGUGAACGGCCACACUGGGACUGAGACACGGCCCAGACUCCUACGGGAGGCGGCAGUGGGGAAUAUUGCGCAAUGGACGAAAGUCUGACGCAGCGACGCCUCGUGAGGGACGAAGGUCUUCGGAUUGUAAACCUCUUUCAGCAGGGACGAAGCGAAAGUGACGGUACCUGCAGAAGAAGCACCGGCUAACUAUGUGCCAGCAGCCGCCGUAA